GCUGGAGUGGCGCAAUUGGUAGCGCACCCGACUUGUAAUCGGGCGGUUGCGAGUUCAAGUCUCGUCUCCAGCUCCG
Molecule: transfer RNA, 76 nt
Filed under: Tomitella fengzijianii
Lineage: Bacteria; Bacillati; Actinomycetota; Actinomycetes; Mycobacteriales
Description: Tomitella sp. HY188 tRNA-Thr
Rfam family: tRNA
About the family: Transfer RNA (tRNA) molecules are approximately 80 nucleotides in length. Their secondary structure includes four short double-helical elements and three loops (D, anti-codon, and T loops).
Source: RNAcentral